Molecule: RNA transcript, 4257 nt
Organism: Xenia sp. Carnegie-2017
Lineage: Eukaryota; Metazoa; Cnidaria; Anthozoa; Malacalcyonacea; Xeniidae
Gene name: RNA polymerase-associated protein CTR9 homolog
Exons: 30
Source: RefSeq, a predicted model, not a curated record
AGACAUUCUAUUAAUAGUGUUAUCAUAAAUGGAUAGCAGUGGUGGGAUGAGGAUCAAAAAUAUUCCUAAGUCUCAUUAUCACCAAUUAUCCCACAGUAUUUCUUUUUCAUAAUCAAUGUUCACAAUAUUAUCUUUUCAACAUGGCGACUUCAGUAGAAAUUCCUUUAAGAGAUACUGACGAAGUGAUAGAAUUACAAUUUGAUCAGUUACCAGAAGGCGAUGAAGUUUUGAAUAUAUUAAAACAAGAAAAUGCUCAGUUGAAAAUAUGGAAUGUUCUUGCAAUUCAGUAUUUCAAAGAAGGCAGAACAAGUGAUUUUGUUCAGUUGUUGGAAGCAGCUAAGACAGAAGGAAACAUCAAUUACACAAACAGUGAUCGUGACAGAAUGAUAUGUUUGGACACAUUGGCUGCAUAUUAUGUUCAAGAAGCGAAAAAAGAAAAAAACAAAGAAAAAAAGAAGGAAAUGUUUACUAAGGCAACACAACUUUUCACUACUGCUGACAAAAUUAUUAUGUAUGAUCAGAAACAUCUUCUUGGUCGGGCAUAUUUUUGUUUGUUAGAAGGAGAUAAAAUAGAUCAAGCUGACGCACAGUUUAAUUUUGUUUUAGCGCAGUCUGGCAACAAUAUUCCAGCGCUGUUGGGAAAGGCUUGUAUUUCGUUUAAUAAAAAAGAUUUUAAAGGAGCGUUAGCAUAUUAUAAAAAAGCGUUGAGAACAAAUUCUAACUGUCCAGCUGCUGUCCGUCUUGGUAUGGGUCAUUGUUUUGCAAAACUUGGAAAGGAUGAAAAAGCAAAGCUUGCAUUUGAAAGAGCCUUACAACUCGAUCCAUAUUGUACUGGAGCGAUGGUUGGUCUUGCUAUUAUGGAACUGAGCUCAAAAAAACCUGAUGCCAUCAAAACUGGUGUUCAAUUGCUUUCUAAAGCCUACUCAAUUGACAACUCCAAUCCAAUGGUUUUGAAUCACUUGUCAAACCAUUUCUUUUUUAAAAAGGAUUACACAAAAGUUCAGCAUCUUGCUUUACAUGCUUUUCAUGGUACUGAGGUUGAGUCAAUGCAAGCAGAAAGCUGUUAUCAAAUGGCAAGAGCUUUUCAUUCUCAGAACGACUACGAUCAGGCUUUUCAAUAUUAUUACCAAGCCACACAGUUUGCUUCUGCUGGAUUUAUCUUGCCAUAUUUUGGACUAGGACAAAUGUACAUAGCUCGUGGGGAUACAAACAAUGCUGCGCAAUGUUUUGAAAAAGUGUUAAAAAUGAUGCCUGGUAACUAUGAAACCAUGAAAAUCUUGGGUUCCCUCUACAGUAGCUCUGAUGACAUGGAAAAGAAGGAGACGGCAAAAAGUCAUUUGAAAAAAGUAACUGAACAAUACCCGGAUGAUGUUGAAGCUUGGAUAGAAUUGGCGGGAAUUCUUGAACAGACCGAUGUACAAUCAGCAUUGUCUGCUUAUGGUACGGCUUCCCGUUUACUUAAAGAAAAGGUUGGAGCUGAUGUUCCACCGGAAAUUUUAAAUAAUGUUGGUGCAUUACAUUUUCGAUUGGGAAAUCUUAACGAAGCUAAGAAAUUUUACGAAGCAUCAUUGAAACGAGCGAAAACUGAAGGCGAUAAUGAUGAAAGUUAUUACAAUGCAAUAUCAGUAACGACAAAUUACAAUCUAGCAAGAUUGCAUGAAGCAACUUCAGAAUUUGAUCUGGCCGAUAAAUUAUACAAAAAUAUUCUUCGAGAACAUCCGAACUAUGUUGAUUGUUAUCUCCGUUUGGGUUGCAUGGCACGAGAUCGAGGUCAGAUUUAUGAAGCGUCUGAUUGGUUCAAAGAAGCAUUGCAGAUCAAUCAAGUACUUCAUAUAAGUUUUAGUAUUGCUAAAGUUGAUGUUUAUGUGUCUUUGCAAACGGCAUGUGUUAUAAAAUGUAAAGAUCUGCUGGAUUUGAUUGUUUAUUUACUAUUUAAGGAUCACCCUGACGCUUGGUCCCUGAUUGGCAAUCUUCAUCUUGCUAAGCAAGAAUGGGGACCUGGACAAAAAAAGUUUGAAAGAAUCUUGAAACAGGCUUCCACACAAAAUGAUUCGUAUUCCUUGCUUGCUCUUGGUAAUGUGUGGUUGCAAACGUUACAUCAACCUACAAAAGAUAAGUCAAAAGAAAAACGCCAUCAAGAUAGAGCACUCUCCUUGUAUAAACAAGUUUUACGACAAGAUGCCAGAAACCUUUAUGCUGCUAACGGAAUAGGUUGUAUUUUAGCUCAUAAAGGAUUUCAAAGGGAAGCCAGAGAUAUUUUUUCGCAGGUUCGUGAAGCUACUGCUGAUGUAGCUGAUGUUUGGUUGAAUCUUGCUCAUAGUUAUGUGGAACAAAAACAAUAUGUGGCUGCUAUACAGAUGUACGAAAACUGUCUAAAGAAAUUUUAUCGUCAUCAUAAUGUUGAAGUGUUGUCGUAUUUAGCAAGAGCUUAUUAUUUAAGUGGAAAACUUCAUCAAUGUCGUCAUGUUCUCAUCAAGGCUCGACAUAUUGCUCCCAAUGAUACCGUUUUGCUGUUUAAUGCGUCACUUGUGCAACAAAAACUGGCUACAGUGAUUUUAAAAGCCGAGAAAAGUUCAUUGAAAGUUGUUUUAUCUGCUGUUGGUGAACUUGAAAAUGCUCAAAGGUCUUUUCAAUGGUUAAGUCGUCACGGUGAUCGUAUGAAGUAUGAUCUCGCUUGGGCUCAAAGCGAGGCUAGGCAAUGUCAGGAUUUAUUAAGUCAGGCGCAGUAUCACGUUAUGAGAGCGAGAAAAAUUGACGAGGAACAACAAGAAAUAAGGCGUAAACAAGAGGAAGAAAAGGAAUUAUUGAGGAAAAAAAAGGAAGAAGAAGAGCGCCUAAAGAAAGAAGAAAAUGAAAAACAACAAAAAGAAAUGCUUGAAAAACGAGCGAAUUUCCGUGAGGCUACAAAAAAUUUGUUGGUGUUUACGCAAGAAGAUAUGGAAGAGAAAAAACCAAAGAAAAAAAGAGGAAGGGAAACUGGUGAAAUUUAUUCAAGUGGAAGUGCUAGUGAGACAGAACAUGUCACAAAGAAAGAAACAAAGAAAAAGAGGAAAAAACAAAAUGAUGCCGAAUCUAAAGAAAAAAAGCAACGAGUUCCUUCUGGCGAUCGGAGCAAGAAAGAAAAACGAAAACUUGAUCCAGACGCUCAUCUUUCGGCGAAACAACGACGAAAAAUCAAAUCAAAAGCCAUUAUCACCUCUUCUGAUGAAGAUUCAGAUUCAGAUGUUGACAAACUUGAAAUUAAAUUUGAAAAGUCAGGAAGUGAGAAAGAAAAUGAUGACAACAGCGAAGAUGAACGCAACGAAACUGGUGGUGGAAGAAGUGAUGAAUCUGAAGGAAACGCUUCUCGCAAUGGAGACGGUGAAUCCGGAGUUGAUAGUAAGGAUGAUUAUGAAUCUGGGGUGGAGAAUAGGGAUGCUGAUGAAUCUUUGAAAGAAAAUAAAGAUGAAGAAUCAGAUGGAAAAGAAAACAGCGACAGUGAUAAUGGCGAAGAAGGGGAAAAUGAGGAAAAUUUUGUAACUAAAGUUGAUAAUUUAGUCGGUCAGGAAUCCGACGAUGAAAAACUUAACAAUGAAUCUGAAGUUGACGAAUAUACAAAAAGGAAAAGAGUACAGUCGAAUGAAGAAGAAACUGUUUUAACACCAAAGAAAAAGUCCAAACAAAUUGAAAGCUCAUCUGAUUCAGAAGAUGAUUGAAGGAGCAUUUGUAGGAUGAGAACUUUCCCUGGCGUAACAAAGAAACGUUAAUCGUUGAGGAGAAAAAUACAAAUAAAUACAGAAAAGAAGAAGGAUAUGUUAUUUACCAGCUGGGUGCUCCGGAUGGAAAAUUAUUUUCCCGAGGUCUCAAAAAGGGCCCGAGGUAUUUUAUCUAUCAGAAGUAAUCUUAAAAAAAAGUAGAGUGCAAGGUUACGUCAAUAUCAGAUUCAAAAUAAAGUCCUUAACGCAAAAUAACAGGGUUUUUCAAAAUACAUAAUAUUAAAUUUUAACUCCCAGUUUAUCAUUUAAAUUCUCUAGAUGCAAAAAUUGGUAAUUUUUCUGUGACACGUAAUGUUGUUAUCGUACAAUACAUCGGCAAAUGCAUCUUUAUAAAUCAUUAAUAUGUGAGAAUAUAUUUUUCUAUACUGUAUAAUCUUUAGUAUUAUUCAGUUUGUUCUCACCAAGAAAAAUCAAUCGAAUUUAUUCAACGGGUAUUGAAACUUAAAGUCAUUAAGUCAACGUCAAGUGAAAAAAUUAAAAACAUAACAAGAUAUUUUGCAAA